UACGUAGGCAGCAAGCGUCGUUCGGAAUUACUGGGCGUAAAGAGUGUGUAGGCGGUGCACUAAGUUUGUCGUGAAAUCUCCCGGCUUAACUGGGAGGGUGCGGCGAAUACUGGUGUGCUCGAGGGUGGGAGAGGUAAGCGGAAUUCCUGGUGUAGCGGUGAAAUGCGUAGAUAUCAGGAGGAACACCUGUGGUGUAGACAGCUUACUGGACCAUUUCUGACGCUGAGACACGAAAGCGUGGGGAGCGAACAGG
Molecule: ribosomal RNA, 253 nt
Filed under: uncultured bacterium
Lineage: Bacteria
Description: partial 16S ribosomal RNA
Rfam family: Bacterial small subunit ribosomal RNA
Source: RNAcentral